This 497-nucleotide ribosomal RNA is filed under the name uncultured bacterium. RNAcentral's name for it is "partial 16S ribosomal RNA". It matches the Rfam family "Bacterial small subunit ribosomal RNA", at positions 28 to 507 of the family's 1533-position model. The record is from RNAcentral.
GAUGAACGCUGGCGGCGUGCCUAAUACAUGCAAGUCGAGCGAACAGAUAAGGAGCUUGCUCCUUUGACGUUAGCGGCGGACGGGUGAGUAACACGUGGGUAACCUACCUAUAAGACUGGAAUAACUCCGGGAAACCGGGGCUAAUGCCGGAUAACAUUUAGAACCGCAUGGUUCUAAAGUGAAAGAUGGUUUUGCUAUCACUUAUAGAUGGACCCGCGCCGUAUUAGCUAGUUGGUAAGGUAACGGCUUACCAAGGCAACGAUACGUAGCCGACCUGAGAGGGUGAUCGGCCACACUGGAACUGAGACACGGUCCAGACUCCUACGGGAGGCAGCAGUAGGGAAUCUUCCGCCAUGGGCGAAAGCCUGACGGAGCAACGCCGCGUGAGUGAUGAAGGUCUUCGGAUCGUAAAACUCUGUUAUUAGGGAAGAACAAAUGUGUAAGUAACUGUGCACGUCUUGACGGUACCUAAUCAGAAAGCCACGGCUAACUACGUG